CUUUACUGUACAUUAAAUGAGUGUUAUGUCAGUAUUUUAUGGUUAUGAUGUACAAUAAUCACUUAUGGGAAGUAUCUUAUUUUUCAGGCUAAUAUAAUAUGUUAUGAUAUAAAUAUGAAUUGUAAAUAGUACUUUUGUCUUGUUUAAUUUACCCCAGAUAGUUGUUCUACAGAACAAUAUCAGACCAAUGCUCUGCAGUAGCCUAACAAAUCCAGAUUUUUCAGUCCAUUUCCUGUUGUGUUGUCAGAUCCCAAUGUAUAUUGAUUAUAGAUUCACUUUUAUUAAAGUUUGAAUGUAAAUAACUCUUUACUAUAGACCUUUUUAUGAUUUUUUAUUCUGUAGAGCACAUGUGAACAGUAUACCUCAUACCAGAAAGGACCCGGAGGCAGUGCAUGGUGUUCAAUAUUCUCAAAAAUGCUCCAGAAAGGGAAAUGGCAGUGUGUUGAAGACAUGGACAAACAAUUUGAAAACUAGCCUCUGUGCUAAGCCUGGCAGUCUGUGGCUGAUGACAUUAUGGACAGACAGAUGAUUAGAGGGAGGAUUGACCAACAGAUAAAUGGCAAACCUAUAGCCCAAUAAAUUAAGAUUUUGGGACCACAACUGACCUGGAGUAUGUUUCUAGUGAAGGGAACCAGAUUUUAAGUAGCUGUUACCUGUAACACGAAUUCCCGACUGCAGGAUAUCUGGUGCCAGACAGUAUACACCAUACGCCCAGUACUCAGCCCGGGAUGUGGCAUUCAGUUCCGGGAACACACAUGUGUAGUCGCUGCCAUCUGGUAGCUGGUAUAUGGUCAGAUACAGCUGAAACACAGGCAUGCCGAAUUAGUUUAUGAUCAUUUACGUGGUGCUGUUAGCUCUUUAAGUGGCGCUUUUAUCCGAACUGUGUCCAGUACAGGUCAUGGUUUUGAUGGCUAUAAAAUUACUCCAUCUUAAGCUAAGACUUAAUUUUACAAGACUGUAAAGGUUCAUCAAUAAAGUUCAAUCUUACCCUGGCGUGGUUUCAAACAUUAAUGGAACCAUAAAAAAGAGCAUUGCAUUAUUUUUUUUCUUUGAGUCCAAUUAAUCUGUUAUCGAUAUUGAUUGCUGUGUUUUAAUACGUGUUGAUAUACACUGAAAAUAUCUUAAAUAAUUCCCUUACA
This is a long non-coding RNA of Dreissena polymorpha, 1139 nucleotides long. RefSeq lists it as uncharacterized. The record is from RefSeq and is a predicted model, not a curated record. Lineage: Eukaryota; Metazoa; Mollusca; Bivalvia; Myida; Dreissenidae. The transcript is spliced from 3 exons.